RNAcentral lists this long non-coding RNA (2264 nucleotides) under Triticum aestivum (bread wheat). RNAcentral's name for it is "long non-coding RNA (TAES_LNC022459)". Lineage: Eukaryota; Viridiplantae; Streptophyta; Magnoliopsida; Poales; Poaceae. The record is from RNAcentral.
AUUUUUCUUUAUAUAUCCCAGGUGCUAAAAUCUUAUGUGUCAAGGGCAUUGUGAUGGCGCGAUCCAUGUCUCCUGCUAGCGCUCGACGUCCCGUAGCCCCAAAGAGGAGGGCUCCAAGGUACUUUUGAUUGAAUGACUUAAUUUUUUCUCCUAUGUUGUGCUAGAGGACUAACUGAAACUAUGGCUCUGCUAUGUAUCAGGUUGGACAACAAGCUUCACUGGAUGAAAGCAUUUCCCUUCUAAAACAGAGUGCUGCUGAUAUGAAUGCACAAGUUAGUCUUGAUACUAAGAUGGUCAUGGAAUUGCUUGAUCUAUACUAGGUCAACAUGUCAGCCAACCACUUAAAAAUAAUCAUUUGCAUUUCUUCCUCUAAACUGUGAAACCUGACGAGUGAUGACGCAUCAGCAAUUUAGCAAUAGAAGAUGUCAGUGAACACGAGUGCCAGUCAAGAGCAAUGAAACGCUAGAUACUUUAGAGUGUAAUUUUAUAUAAGAAUAAAUAAAUGACACUUAAGUCAUUAAGCAAUUGUUGUUGAGGUAUUGUCUCACCCUUUAUCUGCUCUCUUUUAAACUGUGGAAUGCUAUGGGCUGGAGCUACAGGGGAGGAGGGAGGUAAGCGUGAAUGCAAUGAAUAUUGUUCGGAUAAAAAAUUGGGUGCAAACUGAGUACUGACGGUGAGACUUAUUCAUUUGUUUAUCCUUUUGCCCUUUUAAUCAAGAACAAUGUUCAGAGCUUACAUGGUUGCUGAAAUUUAAAUCUAUGAAAUAGAAAUAUUAAUACCAUACAAUGAUCAGUGCAGAGUAGGAUAGUUAUUGAGUUCUUCCUGAGUUUUCAUUGAGAAAAGAUUGGAACUGUGUGAUUUGUUCUGAACUUCUAAUACAAAGUAAAGAUGGUGUGCAUGGGAGGAGCUUGAAGUGGCAUUCCCAUGGAGGGAUGGCUGAUGGCAAGGCAAGUUUCUCUCAAUCCUUCUCCCCCCUUCACUCUUGAUGUCUAUCAGAAUAGAUUCACCUUUGUUCUGAUUUUUCUUUAUAUGUCCCAGGUGCUAAAAUCUUAUGUGUCAAGGGCAUUGUGAUGGCGCGAUCCAUGUCUCCUGCGAGCGCUCAGCAUCCCGGAGCCCCAAAGAGUAGGGCUUCAAGGUCCUUUUGAUUGAAUGACUUGAUUUAUUUCUCCUGUGUUGUGCUAGAGCUAACUGAAACUAUGGCUUUGCUAUGUAUCAGGCUGGACAACAAGCUUCACUGGAUGAAAGUGUUUCCCUUCUAAAACGGAGUGCUGCUGACAUGAAUGCACAAGUUAGUCUUGAUACUAAGAUUGUCAUGGAAUUGCUUGAUCUAUGCUAGGUCAAUAUGUCAGCCAACCACUUAAAAAUAAUCAAUUGCAUUUCUUCCUCUGAACUGUGAAACCUGACGAGUGAUGACGCAUCAGCAAUUUAGCAAUAGAAGAUGUCAGUGAACACGAGUACUCAGUCAAGAGCAAUGAAGCCUAGAUACUUUAGAGUGUAAUUUUAUAUAAGAAUAACUAAAUGACACUUAAGUCAUUGAGCAAUUGUUGUUGAGGUAUUGUCUCACCCUUUAUCUGCUCUGUUUUAAACUGUGUAAUGCUAUGGGCUGGAGCUACAGGGGAAGAGGGAGGUAAGCGUGGAUGCAAUGAAUAUUGUUCGGAUAAAAUAUUGUCUUCAGCCAUCUGUCUCGCUCUGGUUUUCCUGUAGUGUGGAGUUUCAACUCUCGAUCUGGUCCGCGUGUUAUUGAUUCAGCUGCCUCACCAUUGCAGGAAAUUAUUGUGUGCUUUAGAUUGGGAUGCUGAACCAGAUGAAAAAUGUCACUGCAGCUUUGAGUGCAGUCAUAGGUUUGAAUUGUAAACUGUAGCUGCUUAAAACUUUGGUAUAAAAUAAAGCCCUUACUGGUAGAUGAGGCACGUUAUUAGCAACGUUUCACAUUUUCUUACUUGCAAUACUAUGAUUGCCUGUUCAGGUCUUCCAAGACCUAAAUCAUCAUAAAUCCAGCACACACAACACCUUUUUUAAAACUUCGGUUACCCUGAUUAAGCCUCCGUUCAAUUUUCUUAUAUGGAGGGGUUAGAAAUAGUUACCUUGCUUGCUUGCUCGAAACUAAAUCUACUGAUAAACGGAAUUUUUUCAAACCACACAUGGUGUUUAGUGGGUCUCAUGAUGGAUUGGGUUGUGGUAGUAGUUCUUGGGUGCAAUAUCUAUCUUGAUAAAGCGAUCGAUCAGGGCGCAUCGGAGGCAGAAGAAGAGAAAAUGUUUCGGGU